GACAGGACAUUCACUACCGGCAUCUGUGAAGUCAGACUUUCUGAAAACUACAGUCCGUAGUUUACUAUUUGCUAGUCAGAAUGGCGUCACAGAUACCCAUAGGUCCAUCUUGUUUGAGAUCUCCAGCGGAAGUCAGAGACGUGGGAUGUAUUCGAUGCUGAGAUGGAAAUGUUUCCCAGAGUCUUCAUGUUCUUCCUGGGCGCCCAGGCGGCAGCUGUUGGAGUACACUCAGCUUUGUGUUUUUAUACGGGAGACGAGCUGCAUGCGAAGGUCUUUGACCUUAUCAUCCACCUCACUGGUUCCGGAAGAAUCCUUUCCGCCCCCUAUGGCUACCAAAGACCCAGCCAAUACACAGAGCACAGCAGCAGACCAUCUCCAGCCACAGACUAACAGCCAAGCGCCACAACCAGUUAGGAGUGAUCCCAGCAGAGCUCCGAAGUGACUCAAACCGCCAGCAAUUCUGCCCAGCCAGCGAUAACACAGCACUCCAAUGAUACUCAUCUUCAGCAACAGGUUCCUAUGAAACGCUGAAAGAGGACUUUUUUUUAUUUUUUACAUGGUCCUCCUCCUCCUCACCUGAAG
Molecule: long non-coding RNA, 582 nt
Organism: Solea senegalensis (Senegalese sole)
Lineage: Eukaryota; Metazoa; Chordata; Actinopteri; Pleuronectiformes; Soleidae
Exons: 6
Source: RefSeq, a predicted model, not a curated record